AAUCAACGCUGGCGGCGUGCCUAAUACAUGCAAGUCGAACGCGAAAGUCCCGCAAGGAGUGAGUAGAGUGGCGAAACGGUAGGAGUAACGACGUGGGUGGACCUCGCCUUCCGUAGGUGGGGGAGGGUAACGUACCGUUCCGUAAACGGGAAACGGGACCGUAACUUAACCGUACCCGACUAGUAGUAAUUACCUUCCGUCC
RNAcentral lists this ribosomal RNA (202 nucleotides) under uncultured bacterium. RNAcentral's name for it is "partial 16S ribosomal RNA". The record is from RNAcentral.